GAGUUUGAUUCUGGCUCAGGAUGAACGCUGGCGGCAUGCCUAACACAUGCAAGUUGAACGAGAAGUUCUGGAGGGAGUCUUCGGACGAACGAAGGGAUGGAAAGUAGCGAACGGGUGAGUAACGCGUGGGCAACCAACCUUACACAGGGGGAUAACACAGAGAAAUCUGUGCUAAUACCGCAUAAGCGCACAGUACUGCAUAGUACGGUGUGAAAAACUCCGGUGGUGUAAGACGGGCCCGCGUCUGAUUAGCUAGUUGGUAGGGUAAAAGCCUACCAAGGCAACGAUCAGUAGCCGACCUGAGAGGGUGAUCGGCCACAUUGGGACUGAGACACGGCCCAAACUCCUACGGGAGGCAGCAGUGGGGGAUAUUGCACAAUGGAGGAAACUCUGAUGCAGCAAUGCCGCGUGAAGGAAGAAGGUCUUCGGAUUGUAAACUUCUAUCAGCAGGGAAGAAAAUGACG
Molecule: ribosomal RNA, 464 nt
Filed under: Lachnospiraceae bacterium canine oral taxon 106
Lineage: Bacteria; Bacillati; Bacillota; Clostridia; Lachnospirales; Lachnospiraceae
Description: bacterial SSU rRNA
Rfam family: Bacterial small subunit ribosomal RNA
Source: RNAcentral